UGUCACUCCAGAUGCUUGGACUACACCUCCCAUGAUGCUUUGCCAGCAUUUUGAGUGUAAGAGCAUUAUGGGGGAUGUAGUCCAAGCAUCUGGAGUGACA
Molecule: non-coding RNA, 100 nt
Organism: Pelobates cultripes (western spadefoot toad)
Lineage: Eukaryota; Metazoa; Chordata; Amphibia; Anura; Pelobatidae
Source: the annotation of a GenBank genome assembly